GGGUGGGGAGCGCGCCCGUUAAGAAGCCCGGCCCGUUUCGAUGGCACACAGAUCAUCGCCGCUCUUCUCGUCUUGUCCCCUUCCUCAUCUCCUCGUGUUCUCAGUCACUUCGUCCCCUCUCUGCCUCAGUGUCUGGCUUCUCCUCUUCCUGCUCUUUUUUCUUUGCUAGAUCUGCUGACUAAGGUGCUUCUGUGUGGUUAUCUAUGUUGUUUGCAGGACUUUCCAAUCGGGCGGUUUGGCUGCUGUAGGAUUGCCUUGGCUGCAUACCAUCCUUUUCCAGGCAAAAAGGCAUGAUACACCAGAUGUGAGCAACCUUCAGAAGUGUUGCAUGCUUUUAUGCUUGGAUUUGACAUUGCCGAUGCCGUUGCCUUACUUCGUCUUGAUGACCUGUAUGUGGACUCCUUCGAGAUCAAGGAUGUGAAGACACUCAGAGGGGAGCUUCUGUCACGUGCCAUUUCGCGCCUAUCAGGGAAAGGAGGCAAGACCAAGUAUGCCAUCGAGAACUCUACCAGGACUCGCAUAGUUUCCGGAUUUACCACUCGGCGGAUUUCGUUGCUGAUGGAUUGCCGUUGCUGCAUCUCCUUUUUUUUCAGCUAUGGUUUGCCCUGUUUGUCGUUGUCUGGGUGCCCCUUGUGUACCAUUGGCGCCAGAUCAUGAAGUCCCUGAAGUUUUUGAUGUUGUCCUUGAUGAGGAUUGCUUCAGGAGAAUGGCAAUCUUCCUCUGCAUCACUUUCAUUCUCACCACUACUGCAAUCCAGAUGUCCAGAAUCAACCAGAAGCUAACAUGAAGACUGAUUAAAGGAAGAGGUGGUGGGGAUCAUCUUUUACCUUGCAAAUUCAUGAAGCAGGUUCUUCUCCAGGGCGUUUGGAGGAGAAGGACUUUGCAAGGAAGAAAUUUAGCACAAGAUCUAUAGAGAGUUCAAAAGAGAUAAACACAUCUCAGGUUUGUUUCGGCGUCCAUGGCGGCGGCUGAGUCUUUGCGGUGUCGGGGAUGAAAGUGGAGGAAGAAGACCUAGUGGCUCUGCGCGUUAGGUGGAUUCUGUAUAGUGGGUUUGUCUCUUAGCGGGUUCAGGCCCGUUUUAGUUUUUGGCUGAUGACUGAAGGCAGAAAUAUAAAGUCAGAACUCUUUUUUCAGCCCGUUUGACUGCUGGCCUUUUUCGACUGACCACAACUUUGGGUCAGUUAAUUUGUUCUGAAUAGUUAUGUUUCCUUACCUUCUACAAA
Molecule: RNA transcript, 1223 nt
Organism: Triticum dicoccoides
Lineage: Eukaryota; Viridiplantae; Streptophyta; Magnoliopsida; Poales; Poaceae
Exons: 7
Source: RefSeq, a predicted model, not a curated record